RNAcentral lists this transfer RNA (64 nucleotides) under Dynastes hercules hercules. Its description in RNAcentral is "tRNA-Phe". The record is from RNAcentral. Lineage: Eukaryota; Metazoa; Arthropoda; Insecta; Coleoptera; Scarabaeidae.
AUUUAAAUAGCUUAUAAAGAGCGAGAUAUUGAAGAUAUCUAGGAAGUAGUAAUACUUUUAAAUA